AACACCCUGCGAUGUUCGUGGAAGCGGAUCAAUGUAAAACCAACAUUUUCUGAAAGGGAAUCCAUCUCCGGUCGGCGGCGCACAUGCCUCCCGCAAUUUUGCGGCCAGUGGACUUGUAAUGUCACCGGGACUUAUCCCACCUGCCAUGCAGGUUUUUACCUUGUCCCUUAACACGGCAUAUGUGGGGUUUAU
Molecule: non-coding RNA, 192 nt
Filed under: Clostridia bacterium
Lineage: Bacteria; Bacillati; Bacillota; Clostridia
Description: 6S RNA
Rfam family: 6S / SsrS RNA
About the family: E. coli 6S RNA was the first non coding RNA to be sequenced, but its function was unknown until recently.
Source: RNAcentral